GUUGAGAUGUGCUCAGUGGUAGAGCAUCUGUCUAGCAUACUCAAGGUCCUGGGUUUUAUUCCCAGCAACA
This 70-nucleotide transfer RNA is filed under the name Heterocephalus glaber (naked mole-rat). It matches the Rfam family "tRNA". Rfam says of the family: Transfer RNA (tRNA) molecules are approximately 80 nucleotides in length. Their secondary structure includes four short double-helical elements and three loops (D, anti-codon, and T loops). Further hydrogen bonds mediate the characteristic L-shaped molecular structure. tRNAs have two regions of fundamental functional importance: the anti-codon, which is responsible for specific mRNA codon recognition, and the 3' end, to which the tRNAs corresponding amino acid is attached (by aminoacyl-tRNA synthetases). tRNAs cope with the degeneracy of the genetic code in two manners: having more than one tRNA (with a specific anti-codon) for a particular amino acid; and 'wobble' base-pairing, i.e. permitting non-standard base-pairing at the 3rd anti-codon position. The record is from Rfam by way of RNAcentral. Lineage: Eukaryota; Metazoa; Chordata; Mammalia; Rodentia; Bathyergidae.